UACGGGGGGAGCAAGCGUUGUUCGGAUUUACUGGGCGUAAAGGGCGCGUAGGCGGCCACCGCAGGUCGACUGUGAAAUCUCCGGGCUUAACCCGGAAAGGUCAGCCGAUACUGCGGGGCUAGAGUGCAGAAGGGGCAACUGGAAUUCUCGGUGUAGCGGUGAAAUGCGUAGAUAUCAGGAGGAACACCGGUGGCGAAGGCGGCUACCUGGACAGAGUCUGACGCUGAGGCACGAAAGCUAGGGGAGCAAACAGG
This 254-nucleotide ribosomal RNA is filed under the name uncultured bacterium. RNAcentral's name for it is "partial 16S ribosomal RNA". It matches the Rfam family "Bacterial small subunit ribosomal RNA", at positions 524 to 776 of the family's 1533-position model. The record is from RNAcentral.